Molecule: ribosomal RNA, 459 nt
Filed under: uncultured bacterium
Lineage: Bacteria
Description: partial 16S ribosomal RNA
Rfam family: Bacterial small subunit ribosomal RNA
Source: RNAcentral
CCUACGGGGGGCUGCAGUGAGGAAUAUUGGUCAAUGGCCGAGAGGCUGAACCAGCCAAGUCGCGUGAGGGAAGACGGCCCUACGGGUUGUAAACCUCUUUUGUCGGGGAGCAAAGCGAACCACGUGUGGUUCAUUGAGAGUACCCGAAGAAAAAGCAUCGGCUACCUCCGCUCCAGCAGCCGGGGUAAUAGGGAGGAUGCGAGCGUUAUCCGGAUUUAGUGGGGUUAACGGGUGGGCAGGGGGAGGUGCAAGUCAGCGGUAAAGUUGCGGGGCUCAACCCCGUACUGCCGUUGAAACUGGAUCCCUUGAGGGCGGGAGAGGUAUGCGGAAUGCGUGGUGUAGCGGUGAAAUGCAUAGAUAUCACGCAGAACUCCGAUUGCGAAGGCAGCAUACCGGCGCGCAACUGACGCUCAUGCACGAAAGCGUGGGUAUCGAACAGGAUUAGAUACCCCUGUAGUC